This is a non-coding RNA of Lactuca sativa (garden lettuce), 2333 nucleotides long. NCBI's taxonomy places the organism in Eukaryota, Viridiplantae, Streptophyta, Magnoliopsida, Asterales, Asteraceae. The record is from RefSeq and is a predicted model, not a curated record.
CCUGUGUUCGUCACCGCCUUUCUCACCCAAUAUCUAUUUUCCACCGUGAUUGCCCACCUCCUCACCGCUAAUUGCAUCGAUUUCAAUAUGCAGAAGAAAACUUUUUUUUUCAUCUCUUUCUUUUUUCUCUGUCGCUCCACACUGACAUCACUCCAUAAACCAAUCAACCCAUCGAUCGUCUUCAUCGGCUAUCCCUUCUUCUUCGUCACCUCGUACUGGCUGAGACCAUCGUCACCCUGUACGCCGUCGGCCACCACCACCACCAUGUCAACCGACCGUCUCUCUUCAAGCUUCUUCUAAUUCAUCCACCGCCUCAUCCAUACUUUGAAUUUUGUAGUUCCUAUUUUGCUCUAGACCUAUCCACCCCAUUCCUUAAUGUGUUUCUUCAUUCUAUUACUAUGUUCUCACGUUUAUGCUUCGAAUUAAGUUAUAUUGUUAAUUUAGGUGCUAGGGCUCCAAUGGGUCGACCGGUGUUAUGAUCAAUCGAUGAUUGCCUCCAAAAUUUGAGUCACGAGUUCUAAGUCAGUGGCAUACAUAGGAGCCUGUUAAGGUGAACCUAUGCUCGAUUCGUAUAGCAGAUGGAGAACAAGAGGUUCCUAAAUCCUAACUCUUCCUUUAUACCUGCAACAAAUGGCACCAUAAUUUCGGGGCAACUGAGUAAACUUCGGCCACUGCAUCUCCUUUAUGCUCGAUCGAGAAAAACGCAAACCCAUUUCUAUGGCUACUAACCUCAACUUCUUCUCCUACACCAGAUGAUCGGCUAUCGGCCGAGGAUUUUACACAUUCAUAAACCAUAUUUUUUACGAGUGUAAUGUUCUUUUUCUUUACAUUUCAUUUGGUUAAGUUAUUUAUUUUCAAUUGUGGUUCUUGCUUAUUACAGGGCAAGUAGAAGGAGAUGAGUCCCAGGUUGAAGAAACACUUGAUCUAAACCCUAGAAACUGUAGAAAACUUAGAUAGUAACUUGGUUUUACAGGUUUUGCAUCAUCUAUUUCAUCAUAGUUGUUGCUAUUUUGUGUCCCUUUUUAACAUUUUUGGUUGGCAUUUAAUGUUUCAAGCAACAUAUUCAGCUUUUAUUAUGUUAAUACUUAAUCUUUGAUACGGAACAUGCUUAAUUAACUUUCAAUACAUAUCAGGUUCAGUAAGUUAGUAUCGGAUGCAAGGAUAGGUGACACUAUACCCACUACAACAAAAAACCAAAUCGGUCUGAUUGUUAUUUAAACGAUGUUGUUACCUCUUUUCAAUAUUGAGCAGCUGCAGAAAAAUAAAUUGACACCUCAAAAAAAUCAUAACAAACAAACCAUACAAAUUUGAACCGCUAAAAGUAAUUCUAUGAAUUCCUUUUUAUUAUCAAAAUUCCAGAAAUUCCUCUCUUACUUCUGAAAUCAUAAGAAAAGCAACCUUGCUUCAACCAGUAGCAUAAAAUCAGUUAGUAAUGUUCUUUGUAUUCUAAAAAAAUUGCAUAAUCUACUCAAUUUUUUUUCUUAUUUAGGCAAUGUGCUUCUUCAAUGAUUUUAUAAGAAAAUAUAAAAGUAACAAAUAAAUAGAAGUAAAGAUUUUCCCCUUUUGGGUUUUGUUUUUCUACUCAUUAGUUGUUUACAUUUUGGAUUCUUUUGAAGGUACUAAGUAUUGUUUCAAUUUUUUUUCAGGUUUGUUGCUAUUGUGGUUCGUUAUUGAGCUGGAAGUAAUGAUUUCUCUCUCUCUCUCUCUCUCUCUCUCUCUCUCUCUCUCUCUCUUUCUCCCUCUCUCUCUCUCUCUCACCGUAUUCCUUUUAUUUAUCUGUUUCCAACAUCUCUAACGCUGCCGCCAUAAAAGCAGAGUUGUUGACCUCUACCUCUACUACUCCAGCGUCGACCAUUCAGCAACAACACAUUCACUUACUUGAUUAGAGUGUUGAGGGCAAGGUGUUCAUUGAGGCUAUGAACAUUGUCAUUGCUUUGGAUCACAAGAGAAUCAGGUCCCAAUUGUUUUGAAGAUGAGCUAAAACCUUUAUUUUUCCAAGUAUCUGUGGUGCACCCACCACUUCAUUUCACGUAUCAAAGGAGAAAACAGAAAUAGAUUCCAGCAGAGCAAGUGACUACUACCGACCACAAGGAUUUUGCCUGACAUGGAGGGAGGGCAGAGGCAAAAUGAGAAUAAAGUUUAGACCUUUAUGAUGAACACCCAAGAAGAAAUUGGUCUGACCAUUCACUAUCAUGAGAACUUUUUUAGCUGAUAAUAACCUCCGUCCCCCGCGAAGCAGGGAACACCCUCUAGUUAUAAAAUUAAAAUAGUUGUGAUUAACCCUAGAAAAACAUAUAGUAUUUUCUUAGAAGUUUGUAAUCUUAAUUUAAUAU